UCAUCUUUAGAUUUUAGCCUUCUUUAUAUACUAAACAAGAAACACUGGAAAAGGUAAAUAACAUGUCUAGGUAAAAUUUUAAAUAAGAUGUAAAAAGAAAAACUUUCUUUUUGAGCAUGAAAGUAAUUUAACACUGAAGAACACUUGGAGAAUGCAGUAUAUAAAGGAGACAAUUGAUGUCAUGUAUUCCCUUACCACACAAAGAUAAUGAUUAAUGCUUUGGUACAUACCCAGAGUUUUUUCCAUAUGUACAUACAGCAAAUCAGGCAACCACCAAUACCAGUCCAAGAUGGUAGGCAGACUCUCCCCAGUAGAGAUCUAGGUAUUCUGGAAAAUGUAGAAAUGCUCAUCUUUCAAGAUUUCUGCCAACAUGCAGGGACUAAGAAGGAAGAGAAAACGAAGAUGGUAGGUAGAGAGUUGACACAACUUAGCUUGUGUACCAAGUUACAGACUGAAUGCCAGAUCUGCUUUCCAAUGAAGAAGACAAAGGAGGCAGGAGGUAUGUAAGUGUGGGAAUAUUGACCUGUUUCUAGGUACUAGAAGAAUGGUGGAAUUAUGACCAGUGUAUGCUUUUUCCUGCUCGGGCCAUCUCAGGAGAUGAAGCUGACGUCCUCUUCGGGUGGAGUUCACUAAAGGUGCCAUCUUUGGGUUUUAGAAGACAGCCACAGGGGAAAUCAAGACAUGGGAGUAACAUUGUACAGAUGGAAAACUAAUCCAUUUGGAGCUGGGGAGAUGGCUCAGAGGUUAACAGCAUUGGCUUCUCUCCCAGAGAACUCCAGGUUUGAUUCCUAGCACUCAUGUGGUGACUCACAACCAUCUUAACUUCAUCCCGAGGAAUCUAAUACCCUCUUGUAGCCUCUGCAGGCACUAGGCAUGCACAUGUGGCAGGACAUACAUGCAGGAGAAAUACCUACACACAUGAAAUAAAAUGAAAGUCAAAAAAGAAAAUGAAUCAAUAUUUCUAGUUAUUCUGCACAUUUUCUGGAAAAAGAACUUUUGAAAUAACUUUAUUUUUCAGCCAAAGCUACUGGCAAGCUUAGGCAAAUGUUCCAAAUAUGAUAGUAGACAUGGGCUUGCAGAGUCUAUUAUGUGUCUUACUACUCUUAAUGGCAGUGGCAGGAAAUUGCACUGUGUUAUGAAAACUACAGAUAUUUGAAGAAUGUGUAUCUUUGUUGCCUUUACAAUGCCUUAACAGUGUUUAGCUUUCAAUGUGAUUUUUUUUCUUCUAGAAAAUUUUAACAAGUUGCAAGCUACACAUCAGUGGAGUGCUUAGUCCAGUCAUGGGUGUUGGAUAAAUAUUCAAAACCACCAACGGUUGUUAGAAUUUCCUCCAUCUGCUUCAGAAAAGGUUUCUUCAGCAGUGCUAUGAAUUAAGAGUAGCUCCGGGCCACAAGAAAGAGACACAUAGAAAUGUUGCCCACAAGCCAAUCCCACACAGUCUAGCUGCAAUUUGAGAAGAAUUUGGAAAUAAGGAGAUAAGUAUUCUUGUAGUCAAACGAAGGGCAGAAGUCAGUCUCUCCUGUGAUCUACAGUCUGGAUCUCAUAUCUGUGGAGUCUCACUAUGUUGCCCUGAUCAGUUCCAAAAUCCAAUCCCUCCCACCAAACUCCCCAAUAUCUUCUUAUUAAAAUUUCUCAUUCUAAAUAGA
Molecule: non-coding RNA, 1646 nt
Organism: Cricetulus griseus (Chinese hamster)
Lineage: Eukaryota; Metazoa; Chordata; Mammalia; Rodentia; Cricetidae
Source: RefSeq, a predicted model, not a curated record